UUUCAAUACCGUAUAAAAAUUAUAACCUAGACACUUUUUUUCCCUUUUUUUGAUUCGAACUUUCUUUCCUUGAGAAAAACAUGACACUUAGAGAGUAUAUAAAUAAUCCCAUUUAUCAUUGUUUUCAAAAUAAUAGUUAACUAACUUUUGAAAUAUUUAAAAAAUAUGUGGAGUCGGAGUCGGAGCCAACCAUUUAUUGAAGGCUGGAGUCGGAGUCGGCUAGAGUUGGUAGGCCGGAGUUGGAGUCGGAGUCGGAGUCGGUUGGAGCUGAAAGCCGGAGCCGGAGUUGGAGUCGGAGUCACCUUAUCUCAAAAAGCCGGAGUCGGAGUCGGAGUCGGAGUCGUUUAAAACAUGACCCGACUCCGCAGCCCUGGUUGUUUGUUUUCAUGCCGAAGUUUGGCCCGUUGAAAUCCGCUGAAAAUUGAAGAAAAACAGUCAAUUAUAACUAAACUUACUAUGAAUUAGAGUGAGCAAUGUGAUUGACUAACACCGCGAUUAGAAUCGAUCAGUUUCAGUUAGGAUUUAGCAAUUUAGGAUUUUACAAAUUUAGGUUUCUCGAGCUAUGUACCCUCUAACAGUUAGAGAGGCAACCAAGCAUAAAUUAUGCUCCAAAACACUUCUUAGGCAUCAACAACUACAACUACAUGCCACACCUGUCCAGCUUCAGACGAGAGUACAGAUGGUUCAUGAGCUCUGCGGACGAGAGCGAAAGACCAACUCCCCUAGCCAACAUGAAGAUUUAUGCUCGAACCUGCUGACUGUCGACAAAAUAUGCUAGGCAAACUAUGACCCAACCAGCUAUGUCCCUUUCACCCAAUCGAAAGCAACAAGAUCUCAUAAAACCUCUAACCUUCAAGUCUCCUCGAUCAAAGAGUUGAGCGUCCCACAAUAACUAAGACUACUGGUGACUAAAACGAGGAACUAGAGCAUAACUACCACGAACACCCUCGAACUAGUCAAUCGCGAUCUCGGACAUCGUAAACAGACAGUCCAACGAGACAAAAAUUAGAUUUAGGAUAGGAAUAGGAUCAAGGAUGGGAGCAAAUACCCUACCUGAUGUAAAUAAAGCUUGUUAAUUGUUAGUCGCGCCUAAUCUUAUAAAAACUAUGUGAGUAAUUACCGUUAUUGUUAGUAUUCUUCUUGAUCUUCGUUAUGUUUAUGUUGAGUCCCACGAAGUGAUGUUGUCGUAGCAUGAUCGAUGGUGUAAAGUUGGCUUCAGUUUCGUCGUCUGGAGCAUAUUUUUCGGGAACUUGAGAUGAGUAGAGAUGUAGUCAGCAUAAUUCAGCAUCGUGCAGCAUAAAUGUCGUCGUGUUGAGUAGGUUAGGUUAUCCAAUUAGAACUCGUCGCAGCUUCCAAUCAGAAACGAAGUUGAUGACGUCACAGCACAUUCAGCCUUCAGCAACAUAUUUCCGCCGUAAUUUUCAGCCUUCCGCAACAUAUUUCUCCAUUCAGCAGUAAAUUUUGGCUUCCGCACUUGGUUUUUAGUUCAGCAGCAUAAAUUUCGUCCCGCCUUCAGCAUAAUUAGUAAAUUUCCGUCAGCCUUCAGCACUUGAGAGUUACGUUUUUGUCCCACGACGCAGCUCCUACAAAAGAACACACAAAGCACAUCAAUUCUAAGUUUUAGGGAGAAUAUUUGAAUACUCCCCCCGUAAAUCAAGUUCAGAUGACGAAUUUUCAAUAGUUUCAGGCACUUUCCACUACAUUUUGGCACAAGUAGAGCACAUUUUUUGGACAAAUCACACCGUAAGUAAAAUUACGGACAGUCAGCACCACGUUUGUUUACGUUUUCGUUUGACGUCCUCGGCGAAGCUUUUUGACGAAGCUUUUGGUUUGACAGUUCCAGUUAGUUAGGUAGAGUGAAAUUUUUUCAGUGUUUAUUUGGGAAAACCCUUGUGGCGAAUUUCAGUUGUCUUGUUGAAUUUCGGGUGACCAGAGACGAUUCUGGGGUGGAAAUUCAAUAUAGAUAUUUUAAUUAGGCUGCGUUCUGUUAGAGUGAAGGACAAAUUUGCCUGAAGUAAAGCUUUGGGGUGGGCCUAAACUCUGCAGAACAGAUGAUUUCGGUGAAUUAGGACGAAGUUUCAUUUGCUCAACGUAAUGAUUGGGGUAGAUUCUGAGUCUUAAUGAGCCAGUGUUAUUUCGGGAACAUAAAGUAUGGAGACUUUAGGUUGUAUUUUCAUUAAAUAUGGAAUAUUAUUUAUUUGAAAGUAUAUUUUAUUUUGGGGUAUUGAUUGGGAUUUGAGUGUUAGGAUGAAUGAAUGAGGAAUGUCAACCAUUAGUCAUAGUCGAACUGCUAGUCCUGGAUUGUUCAACAAGUUGUUUUUCUGGGAGAAAUUUAGAGAUGUUAGCCUGUAAAGUAAAUGACCGAAAAAAAAGUAUCCAUGAUUAGGUUAUAAAAUUUUUGCACUAGCAUUUUGUUGAGGAUUUCUGAACGUUCGCUGGAGACCGGAGUGAAGACGUUGAUGGUCAGUAACAAGCAUUUUCUGUGAUGGAUCAUGACUUGGAAAUAGAGAUGGAGGUUACUCGUAACCGAUGAUCAUAUAUGACCCCGAACUGUUGAAAAUCUUUCGCAAAUUGUUUUUGGUGAAAUGUAAAUAUAUUUGUAGUAUUAAUUUGUUUUUUUUUGUGGUUCCUCCGUGUUUUUCGUAAGAUUUCCCCUUACGAAAAUUCAGUUUUAUUUUAUAAACUGAAUUUUCGUAAUUUAAGCAUGGAGUGAUGUAACAGUUGCACUUGUUAGCAUUUAUUUAUUUAUUUAUUUCGGUUUUUCCGUUCGUCUUUAAAUGUAAUUCGAUCUCCGUUACCACGGUAAUCAAUGUAGGUGAUGUUAGCCCCCACGAUCGUUGGUAACUAUCGUUACUGGUUUAAGACCUGGAGAGAGAAUCUCGCGGAGGUCGCUCAUAUGUUGAAUCCUUCGGGAAGACGGAAAGGGACGGUCAGAGCUAUUGCCGACCGCUAGAGUGAGACGGGAACUCAGAUCUUUAAAGAUCCGAAGAAGCCCGAGGCAAUCUCCGGGAAACGGCGUGCCAAAAGUACGUCUGGGGCCACCUUCCCCGUUCUGAGGAAGCAAGUACUCGUUCACUUUGUCCCAGACCUUUGUGAAGUGUGGAGUGCGCAGACUUUUAUCCCGGGUUCCCCUGUCCAGUCCUGAGAUCUCGACAAGGUUAGGAUCGUGUGUGUGUGAAGAAGUGAACUUUUGUGCGGCCUAGCUAGAGAUCAGCCAAGCAGCACCAGUAGGAGUACGAGCGCGCGUCCACCACCGCCCCGCAUCGAGUGUGGGACAAGUUUUGACCCGGCACACGCUACAUCGCCGGAAGAGACGAGCCGUCAACAUCUCGUCUGGAGGCGGUCCAUCCGCCCACGUGCUGGCCCGGAAAGUUCAUUCCCGGCCCGCGCAACAUCAUCGAAGUCAACCGCGCAACCGCAGGUCGAACCGGCAGCGUCGUCCGCGCCGUCCGCGAGCACGCGGUUAAGAUCAACAGCAGCAGCAUCAGCAAGUAACAGGAGCAACAGCAGUAGUCCGGUGAGUCCGUUCUUUUUCAUCGGGUGAAGGGUGACGGCCACGAAAGGCGUCACGAACGUUUUUCCGUUCCGGCUGCGGCCGUAGAGCGGACGCCAUUUUGAUGGACGGCGUCCAUUUUGUUUAAGCGCGUGUUGCCAUGCGCCCGGAGUGUGACGGCCUUUAUUGACACCCCCCACACGUCCACGAAAUAGCACUCUAGUGCCUUUGUCUGCCGCAGUCCGCUUGACUGCCGGUGACGUCAGCGAUCAGCUGUUCCAGCUGACGAGCUGAAGAUUUGAGGUUGAGGAGAGAGCACAAAAGCACGGGGUAACAGAAGAACAAACAGUACAGACAGUAGGGAGAGCAAAAGCACACAGUAGGAAAAUGGUUAGGUAGACGUUGAAGACGAAACAAUGAAUGAAAUACAAAAUGUUAGACUAGUCCAAUAAACGAGCACCUUUUCUGAUUCCCUGCCAACUAAAUUAUGAGUGAUUAUUUUGGAGAUUAAUAAAGUCCCUGCAGUUAAAAUGAGCUCACGUGUUAGUUUUUUUGGUCGAUCCGGAGCGCUGCUUCCGUCACUUUAGGGUCCGUUCCCAGUCCUUUCCUCCCCAAUGCAAAAGUUCUGCGUAUUUCCCAUGCUUCGUGAAGUUCUCUGGUGGCGGGUGUCGGUACUACCCAUGAUGAUUCAUACGGGCACGGGGGGUCCUAUACUGGCGGAUUGCUGAGGAGCUUUUUCGGGAGGCUGAGCUUUCCGUACCGUUCUUGUGGGUCACUUUGGUACGCUGGCCGAUUCGAUCUUGCUUCUUCCCUGGGAAGAAGUUCAACCGAGCACCUCUUCGAGAGUCUCAAACCGGGCAAAUUUAACAUGGCGGGCAGUCUCCCUCACGGGAGUGGCGCAUAAGCUGCACCGUUUGCAACCGAUCGAAUCGC
Long non-coding RNA from Culex pipiens pallens (northern house mosquito), 4426 nucleotides. RefSeq lists it as uncharacterized. The transcript is spliced from 3 exons. The record is from RefSeq and is a predicted model, not a curated record. Lineage: Eukaryota; Metazoa; Arthropoda; Insecta; Diptera; Culicidae.